Molecule: ribosomal RNA, 684 nt
Filed under: uncultured Vibrionaceae bacterium
Lineage: Bacteria; Pseudomonadati; Pseudomonadota; Gammaproteobacteria; Vibrionales; Vibrionaceae
Description: bacterial SSU rRNA
Rfam family: Bacterial small subunit ribosomal RNA
Source: RNAcentral
UAGAGUUUGAUCAUGGCUCAGAUUGAACGCUGGCGGCAGGCCUAACACAUGCAAGUCGAGCGGUAACAGGAAUUAGCUUGCUAAUUCGCUGACGAGCGGCGGACGGGUGAGUAAUGCCUGGGAAUAUGCCUUAGUGUGGGGGAUAACUAUUGGAAACGAUAGCUAAUACCGCAUAAUGUCUUCGGACCAAAGAGGGGGAUCUUCGGACCUCUCGCGCUAAGAUUAGCCCAGGUGAGAUUAGCUUGUUGGUGAGGUAAGAGCUCACCAAGGCGACGAUCUCUAGCUGGUCUGAGAGGAUGAUCAGCCACACUGGAACUGAGACACGGUCCAGACUCCUACGGGAGGCAGCAGUGGGGAAUAUUGCACAAUGGGCGAAAGCCUGAUGCAGCCAUGCCGCGUGUAUGAAGAAGGCCUUCGGGUUGUAAAGUACUUUCAGUCGUGAGGAAGGGUGUGUAGUUAAUAGCUGCACAUCUUGACGUUAGCGACAGAAGAAGCACCGGCUAACUCCGUGCCAGCAGCCGCGGUAAUACGGAGGGUGCGAGCGUUAAUCGGAAUUACUGGGCGUAAAGCGCAUGCAGGUGGUUCAUUAAGUCAGAUGUGAAAGCCCGGGGCUCAACCUCGGAACCGCAUUUGAAACUGGUGAACUAGAGUGCUGUAGAGGGGGGUAGAAUUUCAAUCCCGCGG